This 771-nucleotide ribosomal RNA is filed under the name uncultured bacterium. RNAcentral's name for it is "bacterial SSU rRNA". It matches the Rfam family "Bacterial small subunit ribosomal RNA", at positions 23 to 807 of the family's 1533-position model. The record is from RNAcentral.
CUCAGAAUGAACGUUGGCGGCGUGGAUUAGGCAUGCAAGUCGAGCGAGAACCGGUUUCGGCCGUUUUACAGCGGCGAACGGCGUAGUAAUGCAUCGGAACGUACCCUCUGGUCGGGGAUAGCUACGGGAAACUGUAGGUAAUACCCGAUGAUCUCUGCGGAGCAAAGGUGAGAUUCCGCCGGAGGAGCGGCUGAUGUGAUAUUAGCUAGUUGGUGGGGUAAUGGCCUACCAAGGCGAUGAUGUCUAGGGGGUGUGAGAGCAUGGCCCCCACGACCGGAACUGAGAUACUGUCCGGACACCUACGGGUGGCUGCAGUCGAGAAUCUUCCGCAAUGGACUAUUUUUUGACCCACCCACGCCGCGUGCGGGAUGAAGGCCCUUGGGUUGUAAACCGCUGUCAGAGGGGAUGAAAUCUUCGGAGGUACUCCUCCGAAGUUGACAGAGCCUCAAAGGAAGCACGGGUUAAGUACGUGCCAGCAGCCGCGGUAACACGUACUGUGCGAACGUUAUUCGGAAUCACUGGGCUUAAAGGGUGCGUAGGCGGCGAAUCAAGUCAGGUGUGAAAGGCCUGAGCUCAACUGAGGCAUUGCGCUUGAAACUGAUUUGCUUGAGUAUCCCAGGGGUGUGCGGAACUGCCAGUGGAGCGGUGAAAUGUGUUGAUAAAAAAGGAACACCGGAGGCGAAAGCGGCACACUGGGGGAUAACUGACGCUGAGGCACGAAAGCCAGGGGAGCUAAAGGGAUUAGAUACCCCGGUAGUCCUGGCUGUAAAC